Molecule: unclassified non-coding RNA, 405 nt
Filed under: fungal sp.
Lineage: Eukaryota; Fungi
Description: partial internal transcribed spacer region
Rfam family: Eukaryotic small subunit ribosomal RNA (bases 1-46)
Source: RNAcentral
AAGUCGUAACAAGGUUUCCGUAGGUGAACCUGCGGAAGGAUCAUUAACACGUUUCCACGUACUACCUCCGUGAAUUGUUUUCAAUCUACCUUCGCAUAGCGAGAAAUGAAUCGAGCCAGCUUCAGGAUUGAGUGGGCCUUGCAAUGUGCUUGUGCUGCUUGGGUCCGCUACUGAAUCCUUCGGGAUUCGACGAUUGUAUUCUUGUUGAAGGCAUUCUCAAUGGCUCUAUUCCCGUUGCGUCCAUUCAACGGGGGGGAUAGAGUCGCCCAAUAUUUUAACCACAUUCACCACUUUUUUGCUAGUUGACUUUUUUCAUGUGGAGACGUGCGCUCGUCGCUAUGCUCUACGCGUUUAAUUUAUUUGAACGAAAUCGUACAACUCUUAGCAAUGGAUAUCUCGGUUCUC